CUUCAUUAGGGUUCUUAGUCUUUUCUUGAGCUUCCAAAUGAGAAAAUAUCCUCAAAUUUCAUCUAAAAAGACCUUGAUCUUUUAUUGAGCUACCAAUCAAGAACCCUAAUCCUCAAAUCCUCCUUCAAACCGCACUAGACUUUGCCUAUUUCUGCAAUUUUUUUCCAAAAAUCGAAGAGGCGGGACCACAAUCUUCUAAAAUUUAUUUGACAUGUUAGAUGUGGAGGAACAAGAUGAAGGUUGGAACUUCUUUUUUUUUUUAAGGAUUUUUUGUCCGUAUUCAAAAUCUUUUUUUCUGUAAUCAAAAUAUUGCUUCAUUUUUAACUUUUUACCAGGUGAAGCUGAAUCACAAGAAGUUACUUGAUGGAAUGCUGGCUUUAUGUGGGUCCCACAAAAAAAUUUAGAUUCUUUUAAAGUUCCAACUUUCUAGUUCAGAUUAUUCUAAAGUUACUCUAUUCGGCAUUACUUUCAUAAUGAAACUAGUUGGUAUUAAUGAAACUAGUUGGUAUACUUUUGAUUGUUUAUUUAUGAUUAUAGGUAAAUGAUAGAGUUAUCUAGGAAGGAGUUCUAGGAUUCAGGAUUAAAUAAAGUAGUAUUGGGAUUUUGUUGGUUGUGUUCUAUUGUUUUUAUGGUGAUAUAUAAUUCCUUUCAAUGACAUUUACACUUUUUGUCUAUGAAUAUGUAUAUGGGUUGCUUCCCAUGGCAAUUUUCAAUAUAAUAUUUGGUUUUCGCUCAAAAGGGAAAAAAAUUACUCUGGAAUCGGAUGAGACAUUCAAAUAGAUUUCCAUGUCAUAUUAAUCUAAACCUUUAAGUAAACAGAAAUUAAGACCCCCAAAUUUGAGCAAAAUAUAUUCUAGAGAAUGAGAGUCUUUCCAUAGAGCUCAUCCGUGUUGGGAGAAUCGAAAAUUCUCUUUUGCAAUAUUGGUUUUGCAGUUUGUUGUUACUUUGGAGGACUAUUGGAGUCCAUGGAGGGAGGGUAGACUAAAUAUAAAUCUUUAACUUGAGUAUGUGUUGCUUGAACUUGUCUAGCAGUAUUCAACACAAUCCUCCUCUUUCAUUUGGGCUUUUUCUCCUUCGGUUUUGGGAGGGUUUUAGAUGUUUUUUGCAAGUUUUAUUUUAUUUAUUUUUUAUUUUUAUUUUUGCACUUGAGGUCCUUUCGGUCCUUUAAGUAUAAAUUAAAUCAUAAUGGUCCAAAUGGUGCUACCAAUAAAUAGAAUGACCAUUAGCGAAACAAUCCUAAAACUUCAAUGACCAUUUCUGAAAGUUUGCAAUUUUAGUGACCGUUUUGAAAUUUUUAGGUAAGUUUAGUGACCGUUUGUGAAAUUAACCCAAAAAAUAUUACUAAAAAAUUGUCUAUAAAAAUCUUUAAAAGACCCAACUUAGCCCCCGUUUGAUCCCCAUUAAAUUAAAUUACAUUACAUUCUAUUUUUUUCUCACCUAUAUUCAAUCACACAAUCUUCUAUAAAAUAAUAUUACACGUAAAUCGAAAAAUUUUCUUUUUUUCAACUAUUUAUUUUUAUAAAAAAU
This 1527-nucleotide long non-coding RNA is filed under the name Olea europaea subsp. europaea. Lineage: Eukaryota; Viridiplantae; Streptophyta; Magnoliopsida; Lamiales; Oleaceae. The record is from RNAcentral.